RNAcentral lists this ribosomal RNA (253 nucleotides) under uncultured bacterium. RNAcentral describes it as "partial 16S ribosomal RNA". It matches the Rfam family "Bacterial small subunit ribosomal RNA", at positions 524 to 776 of the family's 1533-position model. The record is from RNAcentral.
UACGGAGGGUGCGAGCGUUGUUCGGAAUCACUGGGCGUAAAGGGCGUGUAGGCGGUCUGCUAAGUCUGAUGUGAAAGCCCGGGGCUCACCCCCGGAAGGGCAUUGGAAACUGGCGGACUCGAGUCCCGGAGAGGAGGGUGGAAUUCCUGGUGUAGCGGUGAAAUGCGUAGAUAUCAGGAGGAACACCGGUGGCGAAGGCGGCCCUCUGGACGGUGACUGACGCUGAGGCACGAAAGCGUGGGGAGCAAACAGG